CAGCAAAGGGAUUCAGUUUUGUGUGUGUGUGUGUGCGUACUCAGUCAGUCAUAUCAGACUCUUUGUGACCUCAAGGACUGCAGCCCGCCAGGCUCCUCUGUCCAUGGAAUUUUCCAGGCAAGAAUACUGGAGUGGAUUGCUAUUUCCUACUCCAGGGAUCUUCCCAACCCAGGGAUUGAACCCAUGUCUCCUGUAUUGGCAGGCAGAUUCUUUACCCCUGCAUCAACUGGGAAGUCUCUCUCUCUAUUUUUUUUUUUUUCAGAUUAUUUCCCAUUAUAGAUUAUUAUAAGAUACUGAAUAUAAUUUCCUUCCUGUGCUAAACAGUAAUUCUUUAUUACUUAUCAGAUACAAACUACUAUGCAUGCUGUUACUUUUGAUUCAAAGUUUAAGUUCCUGGAAGAUGUCCCUGUUUAGCAGCUGAAAGUGAGGCUCAGGGUCAAAGGUAUUCCUUGUACAAUAAACACACAACCAUUUCUCAUCCUUUUCCAGGUUUUUUUUUGCAUCCCAUAAUCAAAAACUGUUAGGCUGCAAUGCUACAUGAGACAAUGAACAAAAUAAUCGAGCAGCCUCUGGUGAAUCUCUCUACUCACAUCUACAUGUAAGCCAGCAAUUAUCUUUCAAAAGCAGUAUAAUUCUCAGCUGCUAGAAGCAGUCCCUUAGUUUAGAAUCCUAAAUGUUUUUACUUUAGGAUCUGCCAUUCUCCUCAUUUCUCCCCAAAUCAUCUUGAUGGGAGAGGCAGAAAUCACAGAGACCUCAAGUCUCCUCUUUUCAAGGGGUAGAGCUGACCCAACUUGCCCAGGGUCAGUCAUUGAGUCUCCUCUGCACCUGAUUCAAAGUAUGUAGCCUUUUGGAUAACCCAAGAUGUGGCGUGUCUAAGAAUUCCAGGGUGGACCAAACUCAGACUCUAAAGCUCAAACACUCCCAUUAGCUGCUGUUUUUUGCUGUGAUGGGAGGUAUCACACACAUUUCACUACCUGUCAUGGACUUAGGUACUACUGCUCCAGGAAGCCCCCAUCCAUCAGCUGGAUGCCCUGUGGCCGGUUGGUCCCCGGAUCUGAUUGCACAUCCCCAACUCCUCAAGGACGAUGUUAAGAACUAUAGUGUCCCUGCCACUUACGUUUCAGGGCAUCUUUGCAGCAUCCUACAGUGGAACAUCUGGCCACUGAGAGAAGAAAGAAAACAAGGCUGCAGAAUGAUACCAUCUAAGAGAUGGGAGGCCUGGAACUGCUGUAACCCCCCUGCUCUCAGCCUGGAACGCAGCUGACACCUGGAGGACAUAGUUGAGAGAGCUAUGACUGACCCACACUUAAUCAUCACUCUAUCUACCAUGGUCUUUUUCAAUUAUGUUUGGGUUGGAUUUCCUGAGUUUAAGAACUGUUUAAAUUGGGUUCUCUGUUCCCUUAAUUUGAAAGUAUUCUUAACUGGCACAUCCUGAUGGGUCUCUCUGAGCAAAUAUAAAUCCACUGAAGGAGAUGGUGAUUCCCUCAGGUUCCCAAGGAGCAGAAGGGUCAGGCUCCAUGGAGAAUCUGUAGAAUUUGGUCUCCAACUUAGCAUCACUGGAUUUCUGGAAAUAAUAAUUUCACUCAUCUGCUGUCCUGUGUAAACCAGACCUCAAGUCCUUGCAGGCUCAUGUAACUAUCCCCUGAGUGACAGUUUCUGCCAUAGUCAUCAAGUGAUCCUCACAGACCAGAUGAGGAGAGGAAGGACAGAGAUUCUACGAUCAGUGAACUGCCUGGACUUCUGAGCCUUCUGUCAGUUUACCAGGUAUCACUAGAGACGAGGCAUGGGGUUUUCCACAGUGGUGAGGUAACAAAUUCACCACCGGCAUCAUUAACUGGAUCCUCUAUGCUCACUCUCUCCCAUCUCCAGGCAGCAAUUUAAAAUCUUCACUCUCAACAGACAUUCUCACCUAUUUCCAGAGAAAAAUUAAAAAAAAAAAAAAAAAAUCAGGUGGGAGCCGACAACCAACCUCUAGGAGAAGAAAAGCAUAAAUACCAGAAACUAAUCUAAGCCUUUGAAAGGUUUUGUAGGAAGAGGUGUCCUGCCAGGCCUCCAAGUUUGGGGUGCAGGAGCUAGGCCCUCAUGGGCUCAAAGAAAGCGAGGGAGGAGACCUAGAAGAAAGAAAAUAGGGUAAUGCUACCCAUCGAACUAGAGAAGCAGGAAAUGAGGCCUGUGGCCAAACCCUGGUGAUGACAACUAGGAAAAUACCAGAGGAUGCCUCCCCACCCACUCCGCCUCUCCUCUGUCUACGUGGCCUGCUGGGUCCCAAAGUGAGGCCUCGGGCCCAGUCUUCGGUCUGUAUCGAAACAGCCAAGAGCCUAGGGGUGCAAACACAGCCCUCUGAGGCGCGGGAGGCCGAGGGCAGGCGGCUGCAGAGGCCCUUUGGUUACACAUUUGCCUUGCUGACAUAGUUUCUCUGCCCACUCGAUGCAUACAGCAACAUUUUCCAAGGCUUGCCCUUUGCCUGGGGAGAGAGUACUUUCCAGAAAGAGGCACACCAGGGAAUUGGAGUGGAGGAAAGGAACUCGAACUCGUGAGAGUCAGUCGGGCGGGGUGGGGCGGAUUCCAGGCCAACCUGCUUCCCCGCGGGGCCCCGGGCAGGGCGGCAGAGAGGGGGCGCGCUUCCGAAGGACCCCACCGCCGACAUCCCGCCCUCUGCCCUCCCUCCCGCCGCCGCCGGGGAAGGCCAACUCCGCCUGCCUGAGUCACGGCUGAAGCUGGGGAGGAGCCGGGGAAGGCGGCCCCAGCGCAGAACGCAGCCGGCGGCUUCAGCGGGAGCC
This 2780-nucleotide long non-coding RNA is filed under the name Cervus hanglu yarkandensis (Yarkand deer). RNAcentral describes it as "lncRNA (ENSCHYG00000016694.1)". The record is from RNAcentral. Lineage: Eukaryota; Metazoa; Chordata; Mammalia; Artiodactyla; Cervidae.